Molecule: ribosomal RNA, 481 nt
Filed under: uncultured Desulfobulbus sp.
Lineage: Bacteria; Pseudomonadati; Thermodesulfobacteriota; Desulfobulbia; Desulfobulbales; Desulfobulbaceae
Description: bacterial SSU rRNA
Rfam family: Bacterial small subunit ribosomal RNA
Source: RNAcentral
GGAAUUGACGGGACCCGCACAAGCGGUGGAGUAUGUGGUUUAAUUCGAUGCAACGCGAAGAACCUUACCUGGUCUUGACAUCCCGGAGACCCUUAGGAAACUAGGGGGUGCUUCCAUCUGGAAGAAUCUGGAGACAGGUGCUGCAUGGCUGUCGUCAGCUCGUGUCGUGAGAUGUUGGGUUAAGUCCCGCAACGAGCGCAACCCUUGCCUUUAGUUGCCAGCAGUUCGGCUGGGCACUCUAAAGGGACUGCCGGUGUUAAACCGGAGGAAGGUGGGGAUGACGUCAAGUCCUCAUGGCCUUUAUGACCAGGGCUACACACGUACUACAAUGGCCGAUACAAAGGGCAGCGACACUGCGAGGUGAAGCCAAUCCCGUAAAAUCGGUCUCAGUCCGGAUUGGAGUCUGCAACUCGACUCCAUGAAGUUGGAAUCGCUAGUAAUCGUGGAUCAGCAUGCCACGGUGAAUACGUUCCCGGGCCUU